This 1020-nucleotide long non-coding RNA is filed under the name Pelusios castaneus (West African mud turtle). RNAcentral's name for it is "lncRNA (ENSPCEG00000004970.1)". The record is from RNAcentral. Lineage: Eukaryota; Metazoa; Chordata; Testudines; Pelomedusidae.
AUGACUGUUUGGAGCAACCAUGCAGUUAGCUGUAUGGCCUCUGCACACAUGCAACCCUCUGGGACACUGCCAGCUACUGCUCCCUGCUCGCUGCGCCCAAUAGACCCUGGCAGCUCCUUGACCCCUGGAUGUUGUGUCUGGGUCACUUCUGCAGAAACUGCAUUCAACCGCAGAACCUGGCCAGGCUGGAAAAGGCUGCAUGAGUCCUUCAGAGUGUGAGCCCAAUCCAAAGCCAGCUGACAUCCGCAGAGCCAGUUCUGUUGGGGGAUGUCGCCCUGGGGGACCUCGAACAGCUCCUUCAAGCACAGUCCCAGGCCAUCUGUAAUUGCUCCAGAAGCAAAACCGCCUCAGAAACCACCGUGAACACAAGUUGCUCUGCAAAUCCAAUGCAGCAGCCCCUGGCUCCCCUCCAGUGCUUCGAUUUGGGGAUUAGACAGUCGCCAUCCCUACUGAUCAGGGUAUCAUGAAUGGCUCUGGGCUCAGUUCUCCUGCACCUGGUCAAAUUUUUUGCAGACACGAGCCAGGAUGACGGGGAGUGCCCAGGGAUGUGGUUCUCUCCCGGUAAUCAGCUCUGAGCCAUUUGAGCCUCUCUCUCCAUUUACCACCAGUCUGUCAAGUCGCAGCGUGGCCGGUUUAUCUCCUGUUUCAUGGAACACAUGGUCACUCCUGGUGCUCCUGCUAACCUUGCCUGUCUUGCUUGCCUCACAGCAGAGACCAGCCAGAUGCUGACCGUGGUCCCGUGACCAGGGAAGCAGCAUGCUUGGCAAAGGACUUCUAGCUAAUGCAGGAGAUGGUUAAGUCUGAUUCCAACUCAGUGGUCAAAAUAAAAUGGAAGGGUUAAUUGCUGAGCAGCUGUGUUUGAACCAGAUUUCUUCAGUACCCUGGAAGCCGAUUGCCUGGGCCUGGGAUAGAAAGGCCAAGAAACACUGGGAUCAUGGGAGAGUGUCGGCGGCUCUUAGGACAUGAGGAUUGGGGGUUUAUGGAGGCACAGAGUCCCUCCUGCAGGUCAGGGUGCCUCGU